UACGGAAGGGGCGAGCGUUGUUCGGAAUCAUUGGGCGUAAAGGGCGCGUAGGUGGUCUUGUAUGUCUACCGUGAAAGCGUACGGCUCAACCGUAUUUUGUCGGUAGAAACUGCAGGACUUGAGGCUGGGAGGGGCUGGUGGAAUUCCCUGUGUAGCGGUGGAAUGCGCAGAUAUCAGGAAGAACACCUAUGGCGAAGGCAGCUCUCUGGGACGGUACUGACGCUGAGACGCGAAAGCGUGGGGAGCGAGCAGG
This 253-nucleotide ribosomal RNA is filed under the name uncultured bacterium. RNAcentral's name for it is "partial 16S ribosomal RNA". It matches the Rfam family "Bacterial small subunit ribosomal RNA", at positions 524 to 776 of the family's 1533-position model. The record is from RNAcentral.